This 403-nucleotide ribosomal RNA is filed under the name uncultured bacterium. RNAcentral describes it as "partial 16S ribosomal RNA". It matches the Rfam family "Bacterial small subunit ribosomal RNA", at positions 28 to 526 of the family's 1533-position model. The record is from RNAcentral.
GACGAACGCUGGCGGCGUGCCUAAUACAUGCAAGUCGAACGCAGUGGGGACGGGUGAGUAACACGUGGGUAACCUCCCAUCAGAGGGGAUAACACUUGGAAAUAGGUGCUAAACCGAUACUGAUGGAUGGACCCGCGGUGCAUUAGCUAGUUGGUGAGGUAACGGCUCACCAAGGCCACGAUGGAUAGGCGACGUGGAGGGGUGAUCUGCAACACGGGGGCUGGUGCACGGCCCAGACUCCUACGGUAGGCAGCAGUAGGGAAUCUUGGACAAUGGACGAAAGUCUGACCGAACAACGCCGCGUGAGUGUAGAAGGUGUUCGGAUCGUAAAGCUCUUUUGGUAGAGAAGCGGUGUCUAACCGGAAAGCCACGGCUAACUACGUGCCAGCCGCCGCGGUAAUUC